CGGAUUAGAGCCAGGUUGGUUAGGCGCCUCGUUUGGGUCGAGGAAUAGUUAGGUUCGAAUCCUAAUAAUCCGA
This 73-nucleotide transfer RNA is filed under the name Scedosporium boydii. RNAcentral's name for it is "tRNA-Pro". It matches the Rfam family "tRNA". Rfam says of the family: Transfer RNA (tRNA) molecules are approximately 80 nucleotides in length. RNAcentral also lists the same sequence under 1 other name. Lineage: Eukaryota; Fungi; Ascomycota; Sordariomycetes; Microascales; Microascaceae. The record is from RNAcentral.